This 422-nucleotide ribosomal RNA is filed under the name uncultured bacterium. RNAcentral's name for it is "partial 16S ribosomal RNA". It matches the Rfam family "Bacterial small subunit ribosomal RNA", at positions 360 to 774 of the family's 1533-position model. The record is from RNAcentral.
AAUUUUCGCCAAUGGGGUCAACCCUGAUCCAGUCAUCGCGCGUGUGCGAUGAAGGCCAUCGGGUUGUAAAGCACUUUUGGCAGGGAAGCAAAGGCGCUGGCUAAUACCUGGAGCUGCUGACGGUACCUGCAGAAUAAUCACUGGUUCAUUACGUGCCAGCCGUCGCGGUAAUACGUUGGGUGCUGGCGUUAAUCGGAAUUACUGGGCGCAAAGCGUGCGCAGGCGGUUCGGCAAGAAGGAUGUGAAAUCCCAGGGCUUAACCUUGGAACUGCAUUCUUAACUGCCGGGCUAGAGUAUGUCAGAGGGGGGUAGAAUUCCGCGUGUAGCAGUGAAAUGCGUAGAGAUGCGGAGGAAUACCGAUGGCGAAGGCAGCCCCCUGGGAUAAUACUGACGCUCAUGCACGAAAGCGUGGGGAGCAAACA